UACGUAGGGGGCAAGCGUUGUCCGGAAUCAUUGGGCGUAAAGAGCGUGUAGGCGGCCAGAUAAGUCCGCUGUGAAAUCUCGAGGCUCAACUUCGAGCUGUCGGUGGAAACUGUCUGGCUAGAGUCCGGAAGAGGAGAAUGGAAUUCCUGGUGUAGCGGUGAAAUGCGCAGAUAUCAGGAAGAACACCCGUGGCGAAGGCGGUUCUCUGGGACGGUACUGACGCUGAGACGCGAAAACGUGGGGAGCGAACAGG
RNAcentral lists this ribosomal RNA (253 nucleotides) under uncultured bacterium. Its description in RNAcentral is "partial 16S ribosomal RNA". It matches the Rfam family "Bacterial small subunit ribosomal RNA", at positions 524 to 776 of the family's 1533-position model. The record is from RNAcentral.